Non-coding RNA from Oryza glumipatula, 197 nucleotides. The record is from Rfam. NCBI's taxonomy places the organism in Eukaryota, Viridiplantae, Streptophyta, Magnoliopsida, Poales, Poaceae.
AUACCUUUCUCGGCCUUUUGGCUAAGAUCAAGUGUAGUAUCUGUUCUUAUCAGUUUAAUAUCUGAUAUGUGGGCCAUGUGCCCACUUCGAUGUUAAAUUUAUUUUUUGUGGGGGAGGGCCCACCACAGUGGCUAGCCACUGGGGCCCUCGCGCGUCGCCCAGGCGUUGCACUGCUGCCCGGGCAUGGCGCACCCCAA